GAUGAACGCUGGCGGCGUGCCUAAUACAUGCAAGUCGAGCGAACAGAUAAGGAGCUUGCUCCUUUGACGUUAGCGGCGGACGGGUGAGUAACACGUGGGUAACCUACCUAUAAGACUGGAAUAACUCCGGGAAACCGGGGCUAAUGCCGGAUAACAUUUAGAACCGCAUGGUUCUAAAGUGAAAGAUGGUUUUGCUAUCACUUAUAGAUGGACCCGCGCCGUAUUAGCUAGUUGGUAAGGUAACGGCUUACCAAGGCAACGAUACGUAGCCGACCUGAGAGGGGGAUAGGCCACACGGGAACGGAGACACGGUCAAGAGGACUAAGGGAGGCAGCAGUAGGGAAUCUUACGCAAUGGGCGAAAGCAUGACGGAGCAACGCCGCGUGAGUGAUGAAGGUCUUCGGAUCGGAAAACUCUGUUAUGAGGGAAGAACAAAUGUGUAAGUAACUGUGCACGGCUUGACGGUACCUAAUCAGAAAGCCACGGCUAACUACGUG
RNAcentral lists this ribosomal RNA (497 nucleotides) under uncultured bacterium. Its description in RNAcentral is "partial 16S ribosomal RNA". It matches the Rfam family "Bacterial small subunit ribosomal RNA", at positions 28 to 507 of the family's 1533-position model. The record is from RNAcentral.